UCGAAAUGCUCAGUCAAACAAAAUGUAAAUCUUAUCCGUGAAUUGAUCAAAGUUAAACCAACAUACGCUCAAUUUCAGCCAAUUAAAUUGGUUUGAUCCAGUUAUAUAGCAUCUCAUAUUCUUUAAUCUUUGUAGCUUAAUUACCAGCCGACAUUAAUACCCUUUACGUCACCAACCCCAUCGUCAAUGCCCACCAUCGCCAUGUCGCCAUGAUGCUACCUUGCUACUGUCAUUCGAAUUCCCCCUUAAUCGACCUAACCAACGUUUACAGCUAUCACUACUUGCCUCAAAUGACAUCACUCUACCAUCAGCUGUUUUUUUGAUUUCCAGGUGUUUGAUAAUAUCCUUAAGAAGGCCAUUUUUCUCCUUCUACCUAUUUUCAUCUUCACCACUGCAUAUGGUGUGCUUCACACUAUCCUUCCCCAUUAGCAUGUUCAUCUACUUCAUUGGCAUUUAUAUCUUAUUCAAGCUUCAAAGGGACGAGUAACAAACUGAAGUGCCAAGAUCAAUUGAAGUAUCCAAAUCUGACAUAAGGUAGUGUGUGGUGUUGUGCGAAAGCAGGAUCUACCCAUAUGUGGCUGAUUGUUGGGUCAAGAGUUGAGAAUAAGCCCUGCCCAUUAAAACAAGUAUGUAUAUUUAUCAGCUGAUCAAAAAUAACUGUGUGAUUCUCCUUUGGUUCACUCUAUUAGUCUCUUAGACGAUAUUGCCCCUAUCCCAGUUUCAUCUGUUAUGGUGAAUUCAACAUCUUCCUUUAAGGUGACCCAACUUAACAACCCUAUAGAGCUCCUAAGAAUUUACCAAUAAUUGAAUAUCAAACCUUAGAGGAGUUGUAUGCUUUUAAUUUAUUUUUCUGUUUUAGCUGUUUUUUCUAUUGUUUGUAUGUUUUCAAACACUUCUACUUUCUUCAGAGCAACUUAGAGCAGCAGGUUGAAAAACUUUUAUGCAUAAAUUUUUUAUGUCAAAGGAAUUGGAGUAAAAAAAAAGAUGUGAUAAUGAUUAACUUUUUAGUUGGAAAAAUGUGAGGGACGGAUAAUGGAGAACCAAAGUCACAUGGUUUCUAUUUAUGAAUUCAAUGCAACUCAUGUCUUUAUUCUGUUAAUUAUUUUUUGAUUAUGAAGAUAAAAUGAUAACUAUGUUU
Long non-coding RNA from Lactuca sativa (garden lettuce), 1138 nucleotides. RefSeq lists it as uncharacterized. NCBI's taxonomy places the organism in Eukaryota, Viridiplantae, Streptophyta, Magnoliopsida, Asterales, Asteraceae. The record is from RefSeq and is a predicted model, not a curated record.